GGGGCAUUAGCUCAGUUGGUAGAGCGCUUCGUUCGCAACGAAGAGGUCAGCGGUUCAAUUCCGCUAUGCUCCA
This 73-nucleotide transfer RNA is filed under the name Paeniglutamicibacter antarcticus. Its description in RNAcentral is "tRNA-Ala". It matches the Rfam family "tRNA". Rfam says of the family: Transfer RNA (tRNA) molecules are approximately 80 nucleotides in length. Their secondary structure includes four short double-helical elements and three loops (D, anti-codon, and T loops). Further hydrogen bonds mediate the characteristic L-shaped molecular structure. tRNAs have two regions of fundamental functional importance: the anti-codon, which is responsible for specific mRNA codon recognition, and the 3' end, to which the tRNAs corresponding amino acid is attached (by aminoacyl-tRNA synthetases). tRNAs cope with the degeneracy of the genetic code in two manners: having more than one tRNA (with a specific anti-codon) for a particular amino acid; and 'wobble' base-pairing, i.e. permitting non-standard base-pairing at the 3rd anti-codon position. RNAcentral also lists the same sequence under 1 other name. Lineage: Bacteria; Bacillati; Actinomycetota; Actinomycetes; Micrococcales; Micrococcaceae. The record is from RNAcentral.